GCGAGUGUAGUAUAAUGGUAGAACAAAAGCUUCCCAAGCUUUGGGCGAGGGUUCGAUUCCCUUCACUCGCACCA
RNAcentral lists this transfer RNA (74 nucleotides) under Rickettsiales bacterium. RNAcentral describes it as "tRNA-Gly". It matches the Rfam family "tRNA". Rfam says of the family: Transfer RNA (tRNA) molecules are approximately 80 nucleotides in length. Their secondary structure includes four short double-helical elements and three loops (D, anti-codon, and T loops). Lineage: Bacteria; Pseudomonadati; Pseudomonadota; Alphaproteobacteria; Rickettsiales. The record is from RNAcentral.